Molecule: ribosomal RNA, 514 nt
Filed under: uncultured bacterium
Lineage: Bacteria
Description: partial 16S ribosomal RNA
Rfam family: Bacterial small subunit ribosomal RNA
Source: RNAcentral
GAUGAACGCUGGCGGCGUGCCUAAUACAUGCAAGUCGAGCGAACAGAUGAGAAGCUUGCUUCUCUGAUGUUAGCGGCGGGCGGGUGAGUAACACGUGGGUAACCUACCUAUAAGACUGGGAUAACUCCGGGAAACCGGGGCUAAUACCGGAUAAUAUUUUGAACCGCAUGGUUCAAUAGUGAAAGACGGUUUCGGCUGUCACUUAUAGAUGGACCCGCGGCGUAUUAGCUUGUUGGUAAGGUAACGGCUUACCAAGGCGACGAUACGUAGCCGACCUGAGAGGGUGAUCGGCCACACUGGAACUGAGACACGGUCCAGACUCCUACGGGAGGCAGCAGUAGGGUAUCUUCCGCAAUGGGCGAAAGCCUGACGGAGCAACGCCGCGUGAGUGAUGAAGGUCUUCGGAUCGUAAAACUCUGUUGUUAGGGAAGAACAAAUUUGUUAGUAACUGAACAAGUCUUGACGGUACCUAACCAGAAAGCCACGGCUAACUACGUGCCAGCCGCCGCAGUAA